GCCAAACGCCCCGGGACACCAUGCCGGCAUUGUGAGCAGACUAAUCGCCACAUACCACUCGGUUUUCCUUCCUGGACUGCGUCACAGGCCCGGAGCCCUGCGGUUCCCACAUUGUUUCUGUCAUCAUCCCAAGAAGCAUAACUCUUGAUGCCGCGUCUGAGCGGGACAGCCUGUCUCAGCACGAGCUCGGACUCUUAUGUAAGUGGCUGUGGGGAGAACUGGCAGUAAACAAACAUUUUUCCAGCCAUUGUUUUCUUUGCCGUCUUGAAAUUUUUUUUUUUUUUCCUCUGGGGCCACUGCAGCUCUUCUGCCCCCAGGAUGGCAGAUUCCCAGCUUAGAAAUGUCUUGCGCGGCAUUUCCAGAUUCUAAAAUCAGAACGGAGUGAACCACAGCGUGCAAUGAAAUGCCUGAGCAUGGGAACAUGUAGAUGGCUUUGUCUGCAAGGGUAUUUGAAGCAGCGUGUCAGCAAGCUUGUCCACUCAACUGUGCUGCUGAUAGCUGUUUGGAGGUGGUAUAAUCAUAUCCAUUUGUAACAGAGAAAAUGGUGGCUUGGAGGUACCCUGUAAUUUUCACAGCAAGGGAGUUCACAGGAAAACCAGACUGUGCUUCGUUUUGCUCUGUUAGUUGCUCAGUCGUGUCCAACUCUUUGUGACCCCAUGGACUGUAACCUAUGGGAUGGUAAGUGCAGUCGAUGUGCAGCUGGGGAGCUGGUUCCCUUUCAUGGAUCCUUUGCAAACAGCUCUGGGUAGUAUGGAAGGCUGAGGGUGGGCGGCAUGGUACUCCACUUGAAGUUCAAAUUCUGGUAUAAGUUGUCCCACCCAAGUCAAAGAAUGGUUGGCAACCAGUUGAGUAACUGUGGCCAGAGCAAGGUAGGAAGGAAGGAUGUGGGUUUCUAGAGAGCACAUUCCAUUUACACCACACCAGGACUGCACUUGGGGUCCUCCAGCCCCCAACCCGUGUCCUCGGCCUUUGGAGCUAUGGACCCUGGAAGACCAGGGUCCCCUCUCAGGACCUGUCAGCAUUUUUCCUGAGAAGAAGCCAUGGUCAGAGUCUCCUUGAGCAUCGGUCAUGCUUUUGUUGUUACAGCAACGGCAAAGGGGCAGGAGGACGCCUCUGGGACUUGAUCUAUAACUGGUCAUGACAACCCAGCCCCUUCAUUUCCCUCAAAAGCAUAAUUGUCAAGAGUCUGAAUUGUUGGAGAUUAUUUUUAGGAGAGAUGAUGGGAGUCAGGGAUUGAUAGAUGGGGAUAGUGUCAGACACACUCUGAUCAUUUCUUCACCUCUUUUCCUACUUUUUUUCUACAUGUGUGUGUGUAUC
This is a long non-coding RNA of Bubalus bubalis (water buffalo), 1317 nucleotides long. RefSeq lists it as uncharacterized. The record is from RefSeq and is a predicted model, not a curated record. The transcript is spliced from 3 exons. NCBI's taxonomy places the organism in Eukaryota, Metazoa, Chordata, Mammalia, Artiodactyla, Bovidae.